GAUGGGACUGAAGGCUUUCGGAAGAUGCAGACUAUGCAGAAUUCGAUGAUUUCCUUUUUCAACCAAACGUUAGACCAUCUUUGACACAGAAGGAAAUUUCCAUCGAGUUUCAACCGAACAUCAACUACCAUUUCAAAAAGGAGAUUGGGCCUGGGAAGCUUCAAGAUCCAGCUCGGGGAUAUUGUUUUCGACAUUCUGCAUUGAGCGACAAUAUCAGUGUAGCUUGCAGGACUUUUCAGACCACAGUUCUUGCUGAUCUUAUUCAUACCUUAGCUGAGCGCUCCUUAAUUUCGGCAUCGUUUGCUGUUUCUCCAAUGGAAUCUGCUGUUGCUCGUCGAGCAUUAUCCUUCGGAUCGAAAACUGCCCAGGAUCACCGUGUCUAAUGCGAAAACAUCAACUGCAACUCGGCCAGGCGAGAAUACUUCUGAAAAGUUUCCAGAUACAAAUCAACAUUGUCGAUAAUCUGUGCUAUAUAGGAGGAGCUUUCAGGAUCUUCAGGACCGUGAUUCCUGCUGAUGUCGCCCCGGCUGCCGCGAGUUGCUGAGCUUGAACGGAGUUGUCUGCAUCUGCAUCCUUCAUUUCGAGGCCACUCACAGUUUCUUCGUUGGAAUCUACUGCGUUUUUUGUCGGGAAUUGUCCUUUGUAACUGCCGAAACUACCCUGG
This is a long non-coding RNA of Hermetia illucens (black soldier fly), 664 nucleotides long. RefSeq lists it as uncharacterized. The record is from RefSeq and is a predicted model, not a curated record. The transcript is spliced from 3 exons. Lineage: Eukaryota; Metazoa; Arthropoda; Insecta; Diptera; Stratiomyidae.